AUACGUAGGGGGCGAGCGUUGUCCGGAAUGAUUGGGCGUAAAGGGCGCGUAGGCGGCGCGGUAAGUCUGGAGUGAAAGUCCUGCUUUCAAAGUGGGAAUUGCUUUGGAUACUGCCGCGCUUGAGUGCAGGAGAGGUUAUCGGAAUUCCCGGUGUAGCGGUGAAAUGCGUAGAGAUCGGGAGGAACACCAGUGGCGAAGGCGGGUAACUGGACUGCAACUGACGCUGAGGCGCGAAAGUGUGGGGAGCAAACAGGAUUAGAUACCCUGGUAGUCCACACUGUAAACGAUGAAUGCUAGGUGUAAGAGGUAUCGACCCCUUUUGUGCCGGAGUCAACACAAUAAGCAUUCCGCCUGGGGAGUACGGCCGCAAGGUUGAAACUCAAAUGAAUUGACGGGG
This 397-nucleotide ribosomal RNA is filed under the name uncultured bacterium. RNAcentral's name for it is "partial 16S ribosomal RNA". It matches the Rfam family "Bacterial small subunit ribosomal RNA", at positions 523 to 918 of the family's 1533-position model. The record is from RNAcentral.